AAUCAUCAAGCACUGGGUAUGGUGGCACAUGCUUGUAAUCUCAGGAAAGGAGAGGCUGAGGCAAGAGGAUCACCAGUUCAGAGCUUUUUUUUUUUUUUUUGAUACCAGGAAUCGAACUCACAAACAGGAUUGCCAGGCACCUCAGCUGUUCUGUGAAUGAAGCCCAAAAGAGAGACAGAAAUGGACCAGAUAGCCCUGGCAACAGUGUUAAGGCCCAGCCAUACCCCAGUUUCACCCUAUUUUAGUGUUUAUGAACAGCCAUUCAUUCUGUUUUGCCUCAGCAGGAUAGAGACAGGUUUCUAUUACUUGAAACAGAGAAAAUCAAAAGCCUAAUUCAUACAGAUUUUUUGGCUUCUUGAUUCCCAAGGACAGUGAACUAUAAGAUAUAUUUAUAUCAAAGCAACAUGAUAUCAUAAGAAAGAAUAUGUACUAUGGAGCACAAUAUUUUUGUAGUAAAUAUUAUUUUAAUACUGUUUCCAGCAAGAUAGAUAACCUCAGAGAAGCUAUUUAACUAUAAAAGAAGGUGUAAUGCCUAAACUCAAACUAAUGAAGGUUCAGUGAAUAAAAGAUGAAGUGACAAUAAUGUAAGUGCCUGGCACAUGCUAGGCAUUAACUAUUAAUUUCCUUUGUGACAUUCUGUGAUCAGUGUGCCCAGAAAUAGGAACGAGGUUUUACUAGCUAUAGACUUUUUUAAAAAAUAAAGAUGGGAAUAAAUAUAACACUAAUAAGCAAUUACAA
Long non-coding RNA from Cavia porcellus (domestic guinea pig), 738 nucleotides. RefSeq lists it as uncharacterized. The transcript has 2 exons. The record is from RefSeq and is a predicted model, not a curated record. NCBI's taxonomy places the organism in Eukaryota, Metazoa, Chordata, Mammalia, Rodentia, Caviidae.